UGACCAGACUCCUACGGGAGGCAGCAGUGGGGAAUAUUGCACAAUGGGGGAAACCCUGAUGCAGCAACGCCGCGUGAAGGAAGACGGUUUUCGGAUUGUAAACUUCUGUUCUUAGUGAAGAAGAAUGACGGUAGCUAAGGAGCAAGCCACGGCUAACUACGUGCCAGCAGCCGCGGUAAUACGUAGGGGGCGAGCGUUAUCCGGAAUUACUGGGUGUAAAGGGAGCGUAGACGGCGAGGUAAGCCUGAAGUGGAAGCCCGCGGCCCAACCGCGGAACUGCUUUGGGAACUGUUUUGCUGGAGUAUGGGAGGGGUAAGCGGAAUUCCUGGUGUAGCGGUGAAAUGCGUAGAUAUCAGGAGGAACACCGGUGGCGAAGGCGGCUUACUGGACCAUAACUGACGUUGAGGCUCGAAAGCGUGGGGAGCGAACAGGAUUAGAUACCCGGGUACGU
RNAcentral lists this ribosomal RNA (451 nucleotides) under uncultured bacterium. RNAcentral's name for it is "bacterial SSU rRNA". It matches the Rfam family "Bacterial small subunit ribosomal RNA", at positions 328 to 794 of the family's 1533-position model. The record is from RNAcentral.